RNAcentral lists this long non-coding RNA (2311 nucleotides) under Mustela putorius furo (domestic ferret). RNAcentral's name for it is "lncRNA (ENSMPUG00000031948.1)". Lineage: Eukaryota; Metazoa; Chordata; Mammalia; Carnivora; Mustelidae. The record is from RNAcentral.
CGGGGGAGGGGUACGUCGAGCAGCCGACCCUGGCCCAACCCUCCACAGCCAAGGUGCUGGAGCUGGCCCAAGAGAUACUGCAGAUGCCUGUAAGAGCAGAGGACUGGGCAGCACCCCAGUUGGGGAAGAUAGCAGGGUUGUUUGUCUUUUUGUAUGGCUCCUGGCAUCUGCACAAUUGGCUAGGCUGGCGCGGCCAUGGAAUGGGCGGAGCCAGCGGCGCGGCUGGCUCAAUGCCCGCCCAGUUGCAGCGGGGACUGGCUUCAGACCCAGCGUAAUUCAAAGCGGUCGACCCGUCCUGUGGGCGUGGCGUGGAGUAGAGCUCCUGCGUGGCUAUUCUUCUCGCCGCGCAGGGCUCCGGACCAACGCCCGCACUUUCUGCUCACCUUUGCCCUCUAUGCUGAGCUCCUAGAGGUCCCAGCUAUGCCAUCCCGGGCUUGCUGGGAUCCGCUGUCUUCCAAUUGCUCUUCAGGACCUGGCUCCUGGAGGGCGACACCACCCCCCCAACCUAGAAAUUCCACUUUGACCUGUAAUGAAUCCUCCUCCAACGUUCCCAGCGUCGUCUUGGACCCUCUUUUAUUGCAAAAACUACAAAUGAAAUUGAUUAAGAAGGUUUGGGGCAGGAUGCUGACACAAUAUGAUGUUCAUCUGAGUCCAGCUUUUGAAGAUAAAAAUCAAAACUUAGCCAUUUCUUUGAUCCUAAUGAGGAUUUGACAUGGACCAAUGAAUCUGGAACCAUCUUCAGCCUGUGAUCAGUCAUAAUCCGGAAGAAGACAAGCAGACCACCCAUCACUCUGUGGAGAGAGAGGUGCCCUCACCUACCACCUGCAUCCUUUGCUCCACUGAAGGUACUGUGGAACCCAUGAGGGGGAGCUAAAACUCAGGCUAGGUAACACCAUUUUAACAAUACCCAGAGGACAAUCAGUCCCUUACCGCUGGCCACAGUUGACCUCUGACUUUAAGCCCUAUGCUAUUACUGUGCUCCUUCCUUACCUGAGAAGUUUCUACCCUUACCAGUGUUGAUUGUAUGUCAUUCACCCAAGCCCUGGUAAUCUGCACACUUCUGUAGACAGGGUCUAUCUGGAAACAACAUGCCACAGACACACCAUAGUGAGAGACACCACACAGGUGAGACUGGGGGCAAUAGGAACCAUGCUGUUGGCUAUUCAGAUUAGUCAAUUAUACUAUCAUGACCAAGGACAUCAACACGGAGGUUAGCAUUCUUUUUCCUAUCACUACCUACUGUUACAAGGAGUACCCCUUCUGGCUAAGCUGGACUCUUACUGCUAAUGACUCAUAGAUGCUUUCUAAACCCUGGAGGCCUACUGUUACUUCAGAUCGGUAAGACCCACUGUUAACAAUUAGUGCCAUCAAACAAAUAGAGUAAUGGGCCAGUACUUAUCAAGUCUCACUUAAGGACUGCCCAGAAAUAAUAUGCAUCCAGUAUUGAAACCAGGAUGCUUGUUAUUGUUAGAGUUAGAUUAAAAAUACUGUCAUCCAGAGCCAAUACCAACAAACUGUAUGUUUACAAAGAUAAAAUUAUAGAUCUUAACUAACCCUUGGUAUAAUGACAUAUGUAAACCCUGCCAAAAAUUUUUGCUGUCAUAAUUUUUUAUCUCUUUUCCUAUUAAUUACAAUGCCCUCUCCCUCUCUCUCUUGCUCUCUCCAGUAUAAGCCUCUCUUAUUGAGGCAGAAAAAUAUUGCACUAACCAGGUGGCCAGGUUCACUUUACCAUGGGUUUCCUCUCUGGUUGCUAAUCAGUAUAGACAAAGAAGGAAAGGCAUACAACAUAAAAUUAACCAGGACAAGGCCUGCCUAAAAUGUCAGGGGCUACAACCAGCUUGGGAGUUCUUUCCUAACCUAACCUCACCAUACCAACAUCAAGAUUUGCAUUACACUCAGAGAAAGCAGGUUCUUAGAAUUAACAGGCUAACUACCUGAAGUAAACAAUCAUAGCUUUGGGUUGUUUUUUUUGUUUGUUUGUUUCUUUGUUUGUUUUGAAGAACAGCAAAAGCAGUUCUUCUGAAAAACAUAUUUGAUACCUUGUAGAAAUCUAAUCACUCUCUACAUGGCAAUUUCUCCAUUCAAAUUGACAGCUACCUGUUUACAACCAUUACAAAAUUUGCCAGGCCUACCAGGACCAUCAUUGGUAAGAACUUGGGGAAAUAUUUAAGGGAGACUGCCACCCAAUGUUACUCUUGUACGGGAUCUUUUAUUUUUUUUUAAAGAUUUUAUUUAUUUAUUUGACAGAAAUCUCAAGCAGGCAGAGAGGGAGGAAGGGAAGCAGGCUCCCCGCUGAGCAGGCUCAAUGUGG